Molecule: long non-coding RNA, 232 nt
Organism: Oenanthe melanoleuca
Lineage: Eukaryota; Metazoa; Chordata; Aves; Passeriformes; Muscicapidae
Exons: 4
Source: RefSeq, a predicted model, not a curated record
GGGACACUAGAGGUGGACAGUGUUGAUGAUCUUCUUGGUGCUUCCAUGAUUCCAGAGGCAAAUGCUGAGCUUCUAUUGAAUGCCCCCCACAGCAGUGCUCUGCAGGGCAUGGCCUUACCAAAGCUGACACUCAGCCAAGUCCUCACAGAGGGCCUUCCUGCUGAGCCCUUGGCAGCAUCCUCCCCUCCAAGGCCAUUCCUCUCCCCCUCUGGCAGUUACUGGCAGGACCAGG